ACGAACGCUGGCGGCGUGCCUCAUACAUGCAAGUAGAACGCUGAAGGAGGAGCUUGCUCUUCUGGAUGAGUUGCGAACGGGUGAGUAACGCGUAGGUAACCUGCCUGGUAGCGGGGGAUAACUAUUGGAAACGAUAGCUAAUACCGCAUAAAAUUGAUUAUUGCAUGAUAGUCAAUUAAAAGGUGCAAUUGCAUCACUACCAGAUGGACCUGCGUUGUAUUAGCUAGUUGGUGAGGUAACGGCUCACCAAGGCAACGAUACAUAGCCGACCUGAGAGGGUGAUCGGCCACACUGGGACUGAGACACGGCCCAGACUCCUACGGGAGGCAGCAGUAGGGAAUCUUCGGCAAUGGACGGAAGUCUGACCGAGCAACGCCGCGUGAGUGAAGAAGGUUUUCGGAUCGUAAAGCUCUGUUGUAAGAGAAGAACGAGUGUGAGAGUGGAAAGUUCACACUGUGACGGUAUCUUACCAGAAAGGGACGGCUAACUACGUG
RNAcentral lists this ribosomal RNA (494 nucleotides) under uncultured bacterium. RNAcentral's name for it is "partial 16S ribosomal RNA". It matches the Rfam family "Bacterial small subunit ribosomal RNA", at positions 29 to 507 of the family's 1533-position model. The record is from RNAcentral.